UACGUAGGGGGCAAGCGUUGUCCGGAUUUAUUGGGCGUAAAGAGCGUGUAGGCGGCUUUGCAAGUCCGUUGUGAAAACUCGAGGCUCAACCUCGAGACGCCGGUGGAAACUGCAAAGCUAGAGUCCGGAAGAGGAGAGUGGAAUUCCUGGUGUAGCGGUGAAAUGCGCGGAUAUCAGGAAGAACACCCGUGGCGAAGGCGGCUCUCUGGGACGGUACUGACGCUGAGACGCGAAAGCGUGGGGAGCGAACAGG
RNAcentral lists this ribosomal RNA (253 nucleotides) under uncultured bacterium. Its description in RNAcentral is "partial 16S ribosomal RNA". It matches the Rfam family "Bacterial small subunit ribosomal RNA", at positions 524 to 776 of the family's 1533-position model. The record is from RNAcentral.